CCUCCCACCAGCGGCCUCGAUCUGGGAUCGCCAGGGACGCCGCCACCGCCGCCACGGAUCCCACGGACGCCGCCUCCGCGGAUCCCACGGCGCCACCUCGCCACCGCUGGUCGCCAUGGCGCGGCGUCACCCCGCCGCCACCACAGCCAAGCGCCGCGCCGCCCCUCCGAACCCUAGCCCGCCCCCUCCGCCCGCCGAUGGAUCGCUUCCGCUCCUCCACGCGGUGAGCUGCGGCGACCUGCGCCUCUACAAGAGGCUGGUGAGAGAUCUGGAUCAGGGCAGGGGCCGCCCCAGGGAGGUGGUGGAGGCGGCCAAGGACCAAGGUCUCGUGGCGCUGCACUUCGCUGCCGGGAAGGGAAGGCCACGGGUGUGCAGGUACCUGGUCGACGAGCUAGGGGUCGAUGUGGACGCCGUCGACAAUGGAGAAUUGGGCUAUAGGAAACUGUAUUUUGACCAGCACCAGUUUAUUUUUCGAAAUAAACCGGGGAUUCUGCCAUGCCCUGCGUCAAGUCCGGCUCUAGCGGCUGCUUGUUCUACCGGAGGAAGCACUCAUGGCGCUGCGAUGAGUUAGUGAGCAGGAGCACCCUGCAUCUGCUGGACUUUGAUGACGGUACACCACCAGAAGAUGCUUGGAGAAGAAGUAGUUACGCUAAUAGACUGAAGGAGUUCAAUGUGACGUUCAGAGAAGCAUUUAAAAUGGUAUGAAAAAUGCAAUUGUCAAACAGAGAUGAAGCUUGGUCUCCGGCUUUGGUCAUAUGUUCGAGAGGAAGCUUCUCAUGGAAGGAUCUUUAUAACUAGAGAAGGAUGAAGCAAAAGGUACUCCUCAGUUUUAGCUCCUGGUCAGCAUGAUGGUUUAAACAAGAAAAAAGUACUACAGGAGAUCUGAUGUACAGGUGAUCACUGAAGCAAAGAAAAGUACAGGAGUUCUGGUGCCAGAUUGUUCACACAAACAUAUCCUUGCCACUUCUACAAGUAAUAUCUUGCAAUAUAUUCUAUGAUGCCUGAUUGUUUAACACAUGGAUUGACAAACGUGUUUUGGCUUGCCAUGUUUCCGAUAAUUUCAGUUAUUGGAACAAAAUAACCAGGGGUACUGGCUAGCUAAUGUUUGGUACUGGACUGGACUUUAUCAGCCAUGAUAAUGAUUUUUUUUUUCUAAAGAAAACGUGAAUUUGAUGCUAGGCUGUUCCCACAAGACCCCACAGAAUGUUGGUCACAAAAACCAAUCCAGUUCAUUUUAUGCCAGUCACAAAAACCUGUUUGUCUUGUCCUCUCUUCUUCUUCCCGGCAACCUUGGCACAAUUACUGUGAUAUUUUGUGUGUGUUCUUUGACAACCUUUAUAUCACGGGCUGCCUCCACGUCCACCUUCGUCUACGAGCAUAUAUCAUCACCAUGAGGUGCAUACAGCUCAUGUGCAUUUGAAGUUGAUGGAGUGACAAAUCAAGUUUCCAUUGUGAAAUAUAUUAACUAAUGUGUGGGGAGAGUUUGGGUUCGGAAGGUAGUGUGUGGGACCGGAGGAAGGAAAGGGGAGAAAGAUGUGCUUUCCUCGCUGCAACGCACGGGCAAUUAACUAUAUUGCUAAUAAUUAUGAGGGCUCCUGCAGUGACACUACUAUUUUUGCAGGUGAAGCGACAACCAAGUUUCCAAGUUUAUGUCAGAAUACAAGAGAAGGGGGUUUAGUAUUUUCUUGAUGGCACAUGUUGGAAGGUGCCAUCUUUAUUUCUCUUAUCUUAUGGGUUUCCUCACAAUAGUUUUCUUACAAUGUGCACAAUUUUGCAACAAUAAACAUUGGCUGGGUAUAUACACUUGAAUGGAUGAUCUGGUUAGAUAGCA
Molecule: RNA transcript, 1831 nt
Organism: Triticum dicoccoides
Lineage: Eukaryota; Viridiplantae; Streptophyta; Magnoliopsida; Poales; Poaceae
Exons: 9
Source: RefSeq, a predicted model, not a curated record